UCCAGCAACCAUAUCACCCUGCAACUCACAACUGGCAACCCACUGAAACUAAGGAGCUGUGAGCCUGGUCAGUACCUGGAUGUGAGACCUCCUGGGAAAAUCUAAGGUUGCUGCUGGAA
This 119-nucleotide ribosomal RNA is filed under the name Lepisosteus oculatus (spotted gar). Lineage: Eukaryota; Metazoa; Chordata; Actinopteri; Semionotiformes; Lepisosteidae. The record is from RNAcentral.